UUACCUUUUAUGCGUUUACUCAGAACACAGCCCACCUCUCCGUCCUUUUUAGAAAGCUGCGAACGGUUUUGGGACUAACGACGGCGAACGGCGGCGUGGUGCUCAACGUUGCCAGGUUGGCUAGGUCUUGGGCGGCGCCCGUGGUUGGUGAUGGCGGUGCAGGCUUAGCGGCGUGGUACUCGGUGGCAGUUGGUGGCCUCGGCGGUGCGGUGAGCUCUCUGGUUCCUCGGUGACGGGCAACACAGCGGGUUAUAUCGACUGCGACCGCUUCGUGCUCUGCCCCGGCCACGACGGCGCCGCUCCAUCUCGCGAACUAUGACGGCAUCACGGUAAGCUCUCCACACUUUGGUUUUUUGCCCGGAUUUAUGCCCCUGUAUUUUUCCUCCUGUCCUCACCCAAUCCAUUGAGGAACUUAAGCAUAAUCGUGGGCAUGUCUUGCCGGUUGUGGCGGCUGCCAUGGUGCGAGGGUGUGGCCCUUCACAGAUUGAACAAUUGAUGGAUACCUGUGCUAGGUUCCUGAAGUUUUACUGGCUUCAAUUUGGGUGCACAAGUUUUGGUAUGGCCUUUGGCAGAUUUGAUAAUGUGCGCCUUCUUCCUAUAUCAACCAAGAUUGAACAAAAAAUCGCAUGGCCGUGGUGAUCUGGUCCACGAGAUAGAUGACUAGAUGUUGGGGGUAAAUAAAGAAGAGCUUCUCUCCAGAUCUGACCAACGCAGUCCUACUAAUCUCCAAUCUUCCAUAAAUAGAGCUACCAAUGCGUUUGUGUCUAAUGACUCCUCAGGUUCAGUGGCUUUUGUAUAAUUACUCCUCAAUUUAGCAUGCCCAUAUGCUGCAUUUUCUAUCUGCUGUGGUCCAUCAAAUAUUAGUUGUUAGAUUAAGAAAUAAGAGCUACUUAGUGUAAUCAUUAUGGAUCUAUGUAGGUUUGAGGUCUCUGGGUCUUGAAUUAGGCAAUAAAACGUGGGUUGUAAGAUAAUUGGGUUCAUAAAUUGGUCUUCGGAUUUAUAAUUUUGUUUUUUGAAUUGGAACCUCAUGAUUCCAUGACUUAAACUGGCUCAGCAACAUCGCUGGCCAAGAGUACAGAUACAUCGUUCGGCAGGUCGUCCAACUACAGCCGGCGGGGCACCUGACCACCACCACCCAUUGCAGCAAGGGCGUUGGCUACCUUAUUACAAUCACGAGGAGUACAAGAAAACAUCACAUUGGUGAAGUUCAAUCGAAUAAACAUCACAUUGGGAUAUAUAUUAGCUUCAAGAGUAACAGUUGAGCUCAAAGAAGACGAAGCAAACAUUAUAACUAGUACUGAGAUGAGAAGUAUCUCAGGUCUGUAGUUGCAGAAUCAGGAUGGAUAUUAUAAUGGAUUUUCCCAUUUGAAUUGGGUUUCAAAGAUGAGUUGUCGCGAUAUGUAUUUUUUAUCUUCUUUUAUUUCAGUUCAUAAAACAUAUAGGGUAAUUAGUAUUACUUCUAUAUUUCUGUCCACUUAAACUCUUACUGAUUUAUUCCAGUUUCUGUUUUUACAAAUAAUGGUUUAACCAUUGUUGUUUGUGUUUGUGUUGUAGCCUGCUGUGGCUUAAGAUGAGCUCAAGCCUGAAUCCUUUAGUUUAGAUCGUAUUACUUUUCUCAGAUUCCGUGGUCCAGUUUUGGUUUGCGUUGCUCCAAACCUAGCACUUGCAGUUGCUUGUUUCAGAAAUCCAAGUUAUAUGUCAGAUUUCGGCCGUCGAGGCAAUGGUACCCAGGUAGAUGGACUAGCUGCUUGCUCCGUGCCCGUUCUAGUGCACGCUACAUCAUAUAUAGAUGUACAUAGUUCAGGGAAUGAGAAGUCAAUACAUGCAGGACCGAAUCUGGAGGUAGGCACCAAGACCCAAUAAAGAACAACUCCUGAUGGGUUGUAAUCCAUCGCCUCCUCCAGCAACUCCUGCUGAUCAGCAGUAAUGAGCAGCCACGGCGGAGGAAGCCCCAACAAAUGGAAUGGCGCUUCAACCACACUUUGUGACGUGCAAGUGUCAGCCUUCUGCAAAAUGAUGCUCUUGGCACAGAACUGUGAAAAUUAGAGCUUUUGGGGGGUUCCUGGGUUAGUAGUGUUGCGCUUUUGAUCCGUUCCAUCUCUUAGUGUGGUGAAUUUAAUGAUUUUUAGCCAUUAAAAUAUAUCAGAACGAAUUAUGAUGCAUUUGAUCGUGUCAAUUACAUGGGGACUGCAGAGUAGUAUGAGUAUCAUUAGUGUAAUUUGUACAGCAAAAAUAGUUCGUAUCGUCAAGACAAUGUACUUACAUGUUAA
Triticum urartu is the source of this 2270-nucleotide long non-coding RNA. RefSeq lists it as uncharacterized. The record is from RefSeq and is a predicted model, not a curated record. Lineage: Eukaryota; Viridiplantae; Streptophyta; Magnoliopsida; Poales; Poaceae.